This is a non-coding RNA of Stegodyphus mimosarum, 73 nucleotides long. The record is from Rfam. Lineage: Eukaryota; Metazoa; Arthropoda; Arachnida; Araneae; Eresidae.
GCGUUCGUGGUGUAAUGGUCAACACAUUCGGUGCGUAUUCGAGAGGUCCGAGGUUCGAGUCCCGGCGAGAGCA